AUGCACUCAGAAGCUAGAAAGAGCAUUCAAAACCCUGGAGUAGAGUUACAGAUGGUUGUGAGCCACUGUGUGGGUACCGAGAAUGGAACCCUGGGCCUCUGGAAGUACAGGCCAUGCUCUGAAAGACUACCAAGCUACUUCUCCAGAUCCAAGGGCUUGCGGAAGUGACUUUGAACCAGCUUGAUCAAACUCCAAGCAGCUGUGUGAGGUGAAAACUCACCACCAAGGGGAAAAAGAAGCUGGAGGCGGGGAAAGCAGGCACCAUGGAAUGAAGAAACCUAAGAAUGUUACUGCAACAUCACCGGCCUGCUGAGUGGCACUGAGGCAGAGCUACAGUUUCUCUGAGGAGGGACAAGGGCUAGCAGGGAACUGUUUGGUCAGGACUAGUGUCAGCUGCUCACCUGUCUCUGGCGCUCCUAUCUCACACCACCCUGGCAAGCCAAUCAUCUCCACGCUUUUCCAUUCCUUCCUCCAGAGGCAGAGGGGUGGCGAAAUAUUUGGGGUUUGGGGACCAAUGGGAUGGUACUAAGUGUCUAAUCUCUCCAAGUUGCAGUGCCCUCACCUGCAAGGCAGGAAGCACACAAAUGCUUGGCACUGGUGGUCGUGAAAGUAGGAGCUUAUUAAUGGAGACAAGCAGUUGGUGCAAUACAGAGGGAUCCUCUCUGCUGCAGGUAAUGAACCCUCCAGUAUUGGAGGUAUGCAAGGCUUGACGUUUUGUGGUGCUUCCAGCCCUGCAUGGGGAGAGUGAGGACUAGUCUGGUCAACCUGAAUUAAUCCCACAGCAGUAGCAGAGGGGAGGUUUUGAUUUUGUUAAACAGAGUCUGGGAUUUCAUGUGUCAGCGUGCUGCCUGGCAAUUAAAAUCAGGAGAGUUUAAUCUGAAGAGAGUUCCAGCUCUGUUGUUUGCCCUUUUAAUCUUGUCUGUUACCAUGGGAACGGCAAGUGAUUGCAAUCACCACUGUUUGUAUUGUGAGCCUGCUCCCAUCAAUGUGGCUUUUGAAAAACAAGAAAUAAAAAUCUUGACUUCUGCACACCACUCAUUACUAUUCAGAACGAACCAGGAAGUUCCGUCAAGCGCUUCCUUCCCAGCACAUGCUCUGAAAUCCCCACCAGCCCCAUUUCUGGCCUGCUUUCUUUCCGCUCCUCUCUCCUUGAGCCAGGUGGCUCUGCCACGUGCUGGGAGAGCGUCACCAGGCAGGAUGAGAUCCUGGGUGAGCUGGGGACCCUUUGCUGGGGAGGAACUGGCUACCGAGCCUCCAUCAAGGAGUGACGGGUGUGCAAGGGCUGUUUACGUUCCUCCAGAUCAUGGAUGUUAGUUUUUAAUUUUUACUUUUCUUCAUUUACUUUGCAUGCCUGUGGUUGUGCACACACAGGGGCCUACUGGUCACCUGCAAAGUUACAGCAGUGGCCUGCCUGUCUCCUGGCUCCUGCUGGCCUUGAGACCCAGAGGCUCCAUGGCCUAGAGGGAGAUGACUUCAGCCUUCUUUCAGAGGACUCCCAAUACCUCUGCCUCCUCCUACAGCUUACAGAAUGCUUUAUGGGUUUAUUUUGUCUUGCAGAUUGAAGUCACCAUGCAGUGAUGUCGAGGCAGGAACCUGGAGGCAAGAACUGAUGCAGAGGCCGUGGAGGAGGCUGCUUACCAACUCACUCAGCCUCCCUUCUAAUAGCACCCAGGACAACCAGCCCAGGGGUGGCACAGUGGCAGUGAGCUGGGUCUUCCCACAUCAAUUAUCAAUCAAGCAAACGCGCCACAGACUUGCCCACACAUUAGUCUAGUGGGGGCAUUUUCUCACCUGAAGCCUCUUCUUGCCAGCAACUGCACGUGGGAACUUCUGGAUGAGAUUCUGGAAAGCCUGAGACCCUGCUGCCGUGUGUGAGGGUGCCAGUCUGCGACAUAUGCACAUGGUGGGGUUGAUGUGUGCCUCAAGUCUCCCUGAGGUGGACAGACAUGCAGCAAGAUGGAUUAAGAUAGAGGAGACACUUCAGCAGCCAGUGAUGGGAAAUGAAGACCACUCCCUUCACUGUGGCAGUUGAGACAUCUUUCUGUGGGAUGGACUGGGAUACUCUGAGAGUUCUGAGAAGAAGGUAUUUUAAAACUGCCAUCCCUUUUAGGGUAAGAGCGGAACCCCUGGCUUCAACCCUCUCUUUCCAAGGCAGAUAAUCCUCCUCCUCUUUGCUAAUCUCAGAAUUAUAUGUGUCUAGAAGACAACCAGGAAGACAGUUUAUUGUUAAAAUGACCAAGUUCACUUUGGUCACAUUGAAGAGAGAGAGAGAGAAAAAAAAAAAAGAGCUAUUUUCUAGUGUCUAAAUCUCAUUAAAAAAGCAAUUUUGCAAUCAAUUACAAUGCAAUUUAGCCACUAACUGUUUAAUUAUAUAUUUUAAAAAACCAGAAACAGAAGAUGCAGCCAGAGUGAGUCCGUUCUCUCUGUCCCCACACUAUGAGCCAGGCCAAGAGAAACUGUCUUUGGAUGAGGUUUGGGCAGCGGGAUGAGUCUCUGGCUUUCCAAGUCAGUAAGUUACACCAGCCUAAGGAGGUAGCUGCACUCACAACACGCUGCAGCCGGAGACAUACAUUUUUUUUUCCCUACAAGAGCUUGGACCUUUCUUAUUCUGUCAUGCACUAUAAAAAUUGUAUAAUUCUGUGUGGCUUUUAUUAAAGGAACAUUAUUUCUAUAAAUUAUUUUUUAAUGCUGUGGAAGAAUUUGCCUUCUGGAACCAUCUUGGUGAAAAUAAUCUGCAGAUGAAAUAGAGACUCAGGCCUUCGGAGUGCUGGAGAUAUCAAGGUCUGGAAGAGAGGGGUGGCUCACUCCUUUAACCCCAGCGCUUGG
This is a long non-coding RNA of Apodemus sylvaticus (European woodmouse), 2826 nucleotides long. RefSeq lists it as uncharacterized. NCBI's taxonomy places the organism in Eukaryota, Metazoa, Chordata, Mammalia, Rodentia, Muridae. The transcript is spliced from 5 exons. The record is from RefSeq and is a predicted model, not a curated record.